RNAcentral lists this unclassified non-coding RNA (253 nucleotides) under uncultured Oligoflexaceae bacterium. Its description in RNAcentral is "contains 16S-23S intergenic spacer region". It matches the Rfam family "Bacterial small subunit ribosomal RNA", at positions 524 to 776 of the family's 1533-position model. The record is from RNAcentral. Lineage: Bacteria; Pseudomonadati; Bdellovibrionota; Oligoflexia; Oligoflexales; Oligoflexaceae.
UACGAAGGGUGCAAGCGUUGUUCGGAAUUACUGGGCGUAAAGGGUUCGUAGGCGGGAAUUUAAGUCAAGUGUGAAAUCCCUGAGCUUAACUCAGGACGUGCAUUUGAAACUAUUUUUCUUGAGUAUUGGAGAGGGUCGUGGAAUUGCUGGUGUAGGAGUGAAAUCCGUAGAGAUCAGCAGGAACACCUGAGGCGAAAGCGGCGACCUGGUCAUAUACUGACGCUGAGGAACGAAAGCGCGGGGAGCAAACAGG